This 439-nucleotide ribosomal RNA is filed under the name uncultured bacterium. RNAcentral describes it as "partial 16S ribosomal RNA". It matches the Rfam family "Bacterial small subunit ribosomal RNA", at positions 339 to 795 of the family's 1533-position model. The record is from RNAcentral.
CUACGGGUCGCAGCAGUGAGGAAUAUUGCGCAAUGGGGGGAACCCUGAUGCAGCAACGCCGCGUGGAGGAUGACGCAUUUCGGUGUGUAAACUCCUUUUAUAUGUCAAGAAAAUGACGGUAGCAUAUGAAUAAGCACCGGCUAACUCCGUGCCAGCAGCCGCGGUAAUACGGAGGGUGCAAGCGUUACUCGGAAUCACUGGGCGUAAAGGACGCGUAGGCGGGUUGGAAAGUCAGGUGUGAAAUCCUACAGCUUAACUGUAGAACUGCACUUGAAACUUCUAAUCUAGAGUGUGGGAGGGGGAGAUGGAAUUAGUGGUGUAGGGGUAAAAUCCGUAGAUAUCACUAGGAAUACCUAAAGCGAAGGCGAUCUCCUGGAACAUUACUGACGCUAAGGCGUGAAAGCGUGGGGAGCAAACAGGAUUAGAUACCCCCGUAGUC